GUAACGGCGAGUGAAGCGGCAACAGCUCAAAUUUGAAAUCUGGCCGCAAGGUCCGAGUUGUAAUUUGCAGAGGAUGCUUUUGGCGAGGUGCCUUCCGAGUUCCCUGGAACGGGACGCCAUAGAGGGUGAGAGCCCCGUACGGUAGGACCACCGAGCCUUUGUAAAGCUCCUUCGACGAGUCGAGUAGUUUGGGAAUGCUGCUCUAAAUGGGAGGUGUACGUCUUCUAAAGCUAAAUACCGGCCAGAGACCGAUAGCGCACAAGUAGAGUGAUCGAAAGAUGAAAAGCACUUUGAAAAGAGGGUUAAAAAGUACGUGAAAUUGUUGAAAGGGAAGCAUUCAUGACCAGACUUGGGCUUGGUUGAACAUCCGGCGUUCUCGCCGGUGCACUCUGCCAGUCCAGGCCAGCAUCAGUUUGCCCCGGGGGACAAAGGCGGUGGGAAUGUGGCUCUCUCCGGGGAGUGUUAUAGCCCGCCGUGUAAUGCCCUGGGGCGGACUGAGGAACGCGCUUCGGCUCGGAUGCUGGCGUAAUGGUCAUCAAUGACCCGUCUUGAAACACGGACCAAGGAGUCGUCUUCGUAUGCGAGUGUUCGGGUGUCAAACCCCUACGCGAAAUGAAAGUGAACGUAGGUGAGAGCUUCGGCGCAUCACCGACCGAUCCUGAUGUUCUC
RNAcentral lists this ribosomal RNA (669 nucleotides) under Sarocladium spinificis. RNAcentral's name for it is "partial large subunit ribosomal RNA". It matches the Rfam family "Eukaryotic large subunit ribosomal RNA", at positions 83 to 781 of the family's 3401-position model. Lineage: Eukaryota; Fungi; Ascomycota; Sordariomycetes; Hypocreales; Sarocladiaceae. The record is from RNAcentral.